Molecule: ribosomal RNA, 1017 nt
Filed under: uncultured bacterium
Lineage: Bacteria
Description: bacterial SSU rRNA
Rfam family: Bacterial small subunit ribosomal RNA
Source: RNAcentral
GGGGGUGCGGCAUCAAAGACAUGCAAGUCGGACGGGAUUACUUUUGGUAUCAAUACCGAAAGUGAUUCAGUGGCGAACGGGUGCGUAACACUUGGGCAAUCUACCGAGAAGUGGGGGAUAGCUCGCCGAAAGGCGAAUUAAUACCGCAUGUGAUCAGAGGCGACAUCGCUUCGAAAUCAAAGGUGGCGCAAGCUACCGCUUUUUGAGGAGCCCGCGGCCUAUCAGCUUGUUGGUGAGGUAACGGCUCACCAAGGCAUUGACGGGUAGCUGGUCUGAGAGGACGACCAGUCACACUGGGACUGAGACACGGCCCAGACACCUACGGGUGGCAGCAGUCGAGAAUUUUUCUCAAUGGGGGAAACCCUGAAGGAGCGACGCCGCGUGGAGGAUGAAGGUCUUCGGGUUGUAAACUCCUGUCAUUUGGGAACAAGGUGUGCGCGUUAACUGCGCGCGCAUUGAUAGUACCAGAAGAGGAAGAGACGGCUAACUCUGUGCCAGCAGCCGCGGUAAUACAGAGGUCUCAAGCGUUGUUCGGAUUCAUUGGGCGUAAAGGGUGCGUAGGCGGCGCGGUAAGUCGGGUGUGAAAUUUCGAGGCUUAACUUCGAAACUGCAUUCGAUACUGCCGUGCUUGAGGACUGGAGAGGAGACUGGAAUUUACGGUGUAGCGGUGAAAUGCGUAGAUAUCGUAAGGAAGACCAGUGGCGAAGGCGGGUCUCUGGACAGUUCCUGACGCUGAGGCACGAAGGCCAGGGGAGCAAACGGGAUUAGAUACCCCGGUAGUCCUGGCAAUAAACGGUGCACGUUUGGUGUGGGAGGAUUCGACCCCUUCUGCGCCGGAGCUAACGCGUUAAACGUGCCGCCUGGGGAGUACGGUCGCAAGAUUAAAACUCAAAGAAAUUGACGGGGGCCCGCACAAGCGGUGGAGUAUGUGGCUUAAUUCGAUGCAACGCGAAGAACCCUUACCUGGGCCUUGACAUGCAUCUCUAAGCUGGUGAAGCCAGUGAGUCCCGAAAGGGA